Molecule: transfer RNA, 22 nt
Filed under: Enhydris enhydris
Lineage: Eukaryota; Metazoa; Chordata; Lepidosauria; Squamata; Homalopsidae
Description: partial tRNA-Lys
Source: RNAcentral
GGAAACCCCCUUCCUCGGUGGU